Molecule: long non-coding RNA, 207 nt
Filed under: Elaeis guineensis (African oil palm)
Lineage: Eukaryota; Viridiplantae; Streptophyta; Magnoliopsida; Arecales; Arecaceae
Description: long non-coding RNA (EGUI_LNC011512)
Source: RNAcentral
AUGUGAGUUUCAUUAUAGAGAUGUAACUAUCCAGAAUUUAAAUUUGUUUAAAAUUUCUAGUCAUGGGUCGACCUUUGAUGGAUAGGUUAAAUAUAGUCUAUAUCACUAUCUAUUCAACAAAGAAGUCUUAAAAUAAAAUUAUUUACUCAUUUUUUCCUAGAAAGUUUUACCCACAAGUGUUUCUAAAAAAUUAAGAAGUUCUGAAUG